RNAcentral lists this unclassified non-coding RNA (377 nucleotides) under uncultured Alphaproteobacteria bacterium. RNAcentral describes it as "contains 16S-23S intergenic spacer region". The record is from RNAcentral. Lineage: Bacteria; Pseudomonadati; Pseudomonadota; Alphaproteobacteria.
UCGCGGCUUAUCACCGGCAGUCCCCUCAGAGUGCCCAACUGAAUGAUGGCAACUAAGGGCGAGGGUUGCGCUCGUUGCGGGACUUAACCCAACAUCUCACGACACGAGCUGACGACAGCCACGCAGCACCUGUGCACGGGCUCCGAAGAGGGGUCACUGUUUCCAGCAACUUUCCCGUGCAUGUCAAGCCUAGGUAAGGUUCUGCGCGUUGCGUCGAAUUAAACCACAUGCUCCACCGCUUGUGCGGGCCCCCGUCAAUUUCUUUGAGUUUUAACCUUGCGGCCGUACUCCCCAGGCGGAGAGCUUAAUGCGUUAGCUGCGUCACCAAUAAGCAUGCUUACUGACAACUAGCUCUCAUCGUUUAAGGCGUGGACUAC